UGGGGAAUUUUCCGCAAUGGGCGCAAGCCUGACGGAGCAACGCCGCGUGAGGGAGGAAUGCCUGUGGGUUGUAAACCUCUUUUCUCUGGGAAGAAGGUCUGACGGUACCAGAGGAAUCAGCAUCGGCUAACUCCGUGCCAGCAGCCGCGGUAAGACGGAGGAUGCGAGCGUUAUCCGGAAUUAUUGGGCGUAAAGCGUCCGUAGGCGGUUAUUUAAGUCUGCUGUUAAAGAUCACAGCUCAACUGUGGGAUGGCGGUGGAAACUGGGUGACUAGAGUUCGGUAGGGGUAGAGGGAAUUCCCAGUGUAGCGGUGAAAUGCGUAGAUAUUGGGAAGAACACCAGUGGCGAAGGCGCUCUACUGGGCCGAGACUGACGCUGAUGGACGAAAGCUAGGGGAGCGAAAGGGAUUAGAUACCCCUGUAGUCC
Molecule: ribosomal RNA, 426 nt
Filed under: uncultured prokaryote
Description: bacterial SSU rRNA
Rfam family: Bacterial small subunit ribosomal RNA
Source: RNAcentral